Molecule: ribosomal RNA, 395 nt
Filed under: uncultured Acidobacteriota bacterium
Lineage: Bacteria; Pseudomonadati; Acidobacteriota
Description: bacterial SSU rRNA
Rfam family: Bacterial small subunit ribosomal RNA
Source: RNAcentral
GAUCCUGGCUCAGAAUCAACGCUGGCGGCGUGCCUAACACAUGCAAGUCGCACGAGAAAGUGGAGCAAUCCAUGAGUAAAGUGGCGCACGGGUGAGUAACACGUGAAUCAUCUACCUUCGAGUGGGGAAUAACUGGGAGAAAUCUCAGCUAAUACCGCAUAAUACCUACGGGUUAAAGCAGUAAUGCGCUUGAAGAGGAGUUCGCGGCAGAUUAGUUAGUUGGCGGGGUAAUGGCCCACCAAGACGAUGAUCUGUAUCCGGCCUGAGAGGGCGCACGGACACACUGGAACUGAAACACGGUCCAGACUCCUACGGGAGGCAGCAGUGGGGAAUUUUGCGCAAUGGGGGAAACCCUGACGCAGCAACGCCGCGUGGAGGAUGAAAUCCCUUGGGAU